UACGAAGGGGGCUAGCGUUGUUCGGAAUCACUGGGCGUAAAGCGCACGUAGGCGGAUGUGCCAGUCAGGGGUGAAAUCCCGGAGCUCAACUCCGGAACUGCCUCUGAUACAGCACGUCUUGAGUUCGAGAGAGGUGGGUGGAAUUCCUAGUGUAGAGGUGAAAUUCGUAGAUAUUCGCAAGAACACCAGUGGCGAAGGCGGCUCACUGGUCCGGUUCUGACGCUGAGGCGCGAAAGCGUGGGGAGCAAACAGG
Molecule: ribosomal RNA, 253 nt
Filed under: uncultured bacterium
Lineage: Bacteria
Description: partial 16S ribosomal RNA
Rfam family: Bacterial small subunit ribosomal RNA
Source: RNAcentral